Molecule: long non-coding RNA, 1214 nt
Filed under: Anas platyrhynchos platyrhynchos (common mallard)
Lineage: Eukaryota; Metazoa; Chordata; Aves; Anseriformes; Anatidae
Description: lncRNA (ENSAPLG00000025750.1)
Source: RNAcentral
GUGAGAUGUUAGAGACUCUUGGGCAGAGAGGCAGGGUCUGCUGCUCCUUUAGGUGCUUCUUCUCUUUCAGCCAGAAACACACAGCGAUGGGACCAGAAACACAGCACAGUCCUGGCCUCAUUGCCGUCGACCACUCAGCUGGAAGGAAGAGCUGCCAAGGCUCUCCAGGACAGGUAAGAUGACCCCAACCCAAACCCACCAUGGUCUCACAGCGAGCAGGAAGGUGAUACGAUCGGGCCAGGACAGGAGUCACCGCUCCAUCAGGACAAUGGGACAAGGACAGUUGUGGUGAGACCUCGAGACCCUCAGGCACAGAGGCAGAGGCUGCCCCUGGUCACAGGGGGAUGCUGCUCUGUUCCUUCUCUUAUGAAAGCCAGACACACACAGCGAUGGGACGACUCCAUGGCACAAUCCCGGCUGAUGUCCCCUCGAGAACUCAGCUGGAAAAGAUGCCAACACUCUACAGGACAGGUAAGACAGCCCCAACGCAUUCCGCACCACGGUCUCACCUCGCUAGGUGGGAACGUGACACGCUUGAUCUACAAUGAACAUCUCCCGGGCAUCAGGAAGAUGCGAGAUGGACAGCACUGUUGUGAGGCUGGGAGAGCCUCGAGGAAGGAAGGGAGGGCUUCCAGUGCUGGCAGGGGGUGGCUGCUGGGUUUGUCGCCUCCUCUAUUACAGCUGGACACACUGACAGUGAUGAAAUGCAGCCACGGCACACACCUGGACUCUCUCCACCUGACAACUCAGCUCGACAAGGUGUCAAUGCUCUCCAGGACAGCCAGAAACACACAGCGAUGGGACCAGAAACACAGCACAGUCCUGGCCUCAUUGCCGUCGACCACUCAGCUGGAAGGAAGAGCUGCCAAGGCUCUCCAGGACAGGUAAGAUGACCCCAACCCAAACCCACCACACUCUCACAGCGAGCAGGAAGGUGACACAAUUGGGCCAGGAUGGCAGUGACUGCUCCAUCAGGCCAACGGGACAUGUAUGGACGUGGUGAGACCUCGUGACCCUCGGGCACUGAGGCAGGGUCAGCCCGUGGUCACAGGGGGAUGCUGCUCUGUUUGUUCCUUCUCUUAUGAAAGCCAGACACACACAGCGAUGGGACCAGACCACAGCACACUCCUGGCAACUCUCCCUUUGAGAACUCAGCUGGAAAAGAUGCCAACACUCUACAGGACAGAUAAGCUAUGCCCAACCCAUUCCCCACC